GGCGCGGUAGCUCAGUUGGUUAGAGCGAACGACUCAUAAUCGUUAGGUCGGGAGUUCAAGUCUCCCUCACGCCA
This 74-nucleotide transfer RNA is filed under the name Yoonia maritima. RNAcentral's name for it is "tRNA-Met". It matches the Rfam family "tRNA". Rfam says of the family: Transfer RNA (tRNA) molecules are approximately 80 nucleotides in length. Their secondary structure includes four short double-helical elements and three loops (D, anti-codon, and T loops). The record is from RNAcentral. Lineage: Bacteria; Pseudomonadati; Pseudomonadota; Alphaproteobacteria; Rhodobacterales; Paracoccaceae.